UACGGAGGGUGCAAGCGUUAUCCGGAUUCACUGGGUUUAAAGGGUGCGUAGGUGGGCAGGUAAGUCAGCGGUGAAAUCUCCGGGCUUAACCCGGAAACUGCCAUUGAUACUAUUUGUCUUGAAUACCGUGGAGGUCAGCGGAAUAUGUCAUGUAGCGGUGAAAUGCUUAGAUAUGACAUAGAACACCAAUUGCGAAGGCAGCUGGCUACACGAAUAUUGACACUGAUGCACGAAAGCGUGGGGAUCAAACAGG
This 253-nucleotide ribosomal RNA is filed under the name uncultured bacterium. RNAcentral's name for it is "partial 16S ribosomal RNA". It matches the Rfam family "Bacterial small subunit ribosomal RNA", at positions 524 to 776 of the family's 1533-position model. The record is from RNAcentral.